Aegilops tauschii subsp. strangulata is the source of this 1797-nucleotide long non-coding RNA. RefSeq lists it as uncharacterized. NCBI's taxonomy places the organism in Eukaryota, Viridiplantae, Streptophyta, Magnoliopsida, Poales, Poaceae. The record is from RefSeq and is a predicted model, not a curated record.
GCCCAAUCACAAGAGGCUCAUACAGAGUAACCUAUUCAUAAUAAUGAUGAGUAUCCCUCAUCUAGGGAAACAUACAUGUCCUAUUUGAGAAGGAAUAACAAAGGUGCAAAGAAAGGGAGAGAAGAGAUAGAUGGAUCUGAACCUGGGCACCGAAAACAUGUGGAAAAGGAAAGGUAUACUUUUCACAGCCGACAAGCGGCGCAUUUAAGCCCUAAAGAACUAGCUUCCUGGAAAAAACUCACUCGAUCACCGGCUUUCUGAGAUCAAAUGUUCUGCCAACAGUCGCCGUGGUGGUCUGCCAGCGUUCAUGUUGUGUGAUCCCUACGGGCCCGCCCGCAACGCCCUGAUUUGUGAUUCGAUUCCACCAGAAUCGGUGCCUCUCCGCCCGUCCAAAAAACAUUAUGUGCCUCCCCGACCCUACUUUCGCUGGGCGCAAUAACCAUGGCGGCGGAUCCGCGACGUCGGCGCCCGAUUCACCCCAGGUUCUGCGGUGAUUCCACCAGAUCAGUGCCUCCCCUACCCUUCUUUCACUAGGUUGGGCGCAGCAACCAUGGCGGCGGAUCCUCAGUGUCCGCGGCCGCUCGAUCACGGCCAGCGGCCCGAUGUAGGCGUACCGGGUACAGGCACAGUCUGCUGCUCUGCCCCGCGCUCCUUCCAUGUAUCCCCUGCGCAUCCGGUGUCCAGACGCUUCUUCCACUCUGGCCUAGGUCUUGUUGUUUGGAUGGACUGUUGACAGAAGUGCUAUCCAUUUAGGUAUUCGCGCGAGUACAAAUCAUAAGCAGACUCCACUCCUCCGUGGAUGUUCAGGUUGCAGGCUCAAGCUUUAUCAGGGCCUUGACUAUUGUUUAUUACAUAAUUGUCCAACACAGUGCCUCAUGCUAGCCGGCCUGGUUGAUGAUGCCUAUCUCCCUUAUAAUCAGAAACGAAAUAGCUUAUCCCUUAUAUUCAGGGACGGAAUAACUUAGGCGUGUCGUCCGCGACAAAACAAGUUCAUGGCAUUUUGUCUUCAAAUUAGACGUUAUACGUCCCUGCAAUAUGUGUGUCAAAUGCCCCAAAGUGGAUUUGUGAUCUCACUUUCCUACUGCACGGUCAUUUACUCUCUGCACAUAGAAUCUCUCUAAAUUAACAAAACCUAUUAAUACCCCCCUCUAACUGUUAUAUCUUAAGUUGCUUCUCCAUAACUAUUUGUGUGUCUACAGCUGUUAUAUCCUACGUUACUCUGACAAUUUUUCUCCCAAGUGAUGUGCUUUGUGUGUAUAACUGUACCUUAUUUUGUACCGUCGACAUUUCUAAAUUAUUUUGCAGUGGCUUACGAGGGCAGCAGCUUCACAUCACCACACCGCCCUAGGAUUGAUUUUCUUCCAUUGCAUGAAGUGCAAUUGCUGCCUUGGAAUGAGACUAUCAGAACACAGAUGUCGGGAGAAGGGGCUAGAGACAAACUGUCCAAUUUGCGGUGACUUCCUAUUCACAUCAAUUGCUGCAGUUAGAGCUCUUCCUUGUGGUCACUUCAUGCAUUCAACUUGCUUUCAGUUGUAUUGUAUGAUUAUUCUCCACGGACAAUACAGUUCCGAUUCCUGAUGCUCAAGGGUGACUUUACUUGUGCUCUUGUUAUUUAAAAUCGCUCCUAAGAUGCAAAGUGAAGACUGCUUUAGUAUUUGGGGAGUACACAGUCGGAUAUUUGGCUCAAGUCAUGUUGAGUGACUGAAUGUAAUAGACAAACUUCACAGGUAUUGGUACCUGAAAAAAGAAGAGGAAACAUUGUAAAUCGUUGUUAUUAUAUGGGAUGCCAAUCGAGAA